RNAcentral lists this non-coding RNA (26 nucleotides) under Macaca fascicularis (crab-eating macaque). Lineage: Eukaryota; Metazoa; Chordata; Mammalia; Primates; Cercopithecidae. The record is from RNAcentral. RNAcentral also lists the same sequence under 1 other name.
UGUGAAUGGAAACGUGGCUCAUUUGC